RNAcentral lists this ribosomal RNA (440 nucleotides) under uncultured bacterium. RNAcentral's name for it is "partial 16S ribosomal RNA". It matches the Rfam family "Bacterial small subunit ribosomal RNA", at positions 338 to 795 of the family's 1533-position model. The record is from RNAcentral.
CCUACGGGAGGCAGCAGUAGGGAAUAUUGCUCAAUGGGGGAAACCCUGAAGCAGCAACGCCGCGUGGAGGAUGAAGGUUUUAGGAUUGUAAACUCCUUUUGUUAGAGAAGAUUAUGACGGUAUCUAACAAAUAAGCCCCGGCUAACUCCGUGCCAGCAGCCGCGGUAAUACGGAGGGUGCAAGCGUUACUCGGAAUCACUGGGCGUAAAGAGUGCGUAGGCGGGGUAAAAAGUCAGAUGUGAAAGCCGGUGGCGUAACAACAGGACUGCAUUUGAAACUGUUACUCUGGAGUGUGGGAGAGGUAAGUGGAAUGCUUGGUGUAGGGGUGAAAUCCGUAGAGAUCAGGAGGAAUACUAGUGGCGAAGGCGACCUGCUGGAACGUUACUGACGCUGAUGCACGAAAGCGUGGGGAGCAAACAGGAUUAGAUACCCCUGUAGUC